CAAGGGCAGAAAAUGCUUGUUGGAGUUGUGUGCAGACCACCAAACAGCAGUAGUGAGGUUGGGGACAGCAGCAAACAGGAAAUUAGGGCUGCAUGUAGCAAAGGUACAGCAGCUAUCAUGGUUAUUGAGAUUAGU
Amblyraja radiata (thorny skate) is the source of this 135-nucleotide long non-coding RNA. RefSeq lists it as uncharacterized. The transcript has 3 exons. The record is from RefSeq and is a predicted model, not a curated record. NCBI's taxonomy places the organism in Eukaryota, Metazoa, Chordata, Chondrichthyes, Rajiformes, Rajidae.